This is a non-coding RNA of Paramuricea clavata, 337 nucleotides long. The record is from the annotation of a GenBank genome assembly. NCBI's taxonomy places the organism in Eukaryota, Metazoa, Cnidaria, Anthozoa, Malacalcyonacea, Plexauridae.
UGAACCUCAGGUUAGAAGCCGAAUAUAUGAUCAACAUAUACGCAUAUGAUAUACGUCAAAUAAUUUGACGUAUUUCAGAAUGUAUUUAUUUCUUCUCAAUAUACUGUAUAUAUUGUGUAAGUAUACUGAAGGAGAUCACUUAGACUUAAGCGGAAAAUGGAUAUUACAAAACCGCAAUGGAAGUAUAGUUGUCAAUGAAGCCUUAGUUCCUGGCUACGUUCAUACGGCUCUUUUGAAGGCCAAUGUCAUUCACGACCCUUAUUUUCGGAAUAAUGAUGAGGUAUAUCGAUGGAUUGAUUACGAUGAUUGGACAUACUCAAAGACAUUUGAUUGUGAG